UAGCAUAUCAAUAAGCGGAGGAAAAGAAACCAACAGGGAUUGCCUCAGUAACGGCGAGUGAAGCGGCAACAGCUCAAAUUUGAAAUCUGGCCCCAGGCCCGAGUUGUAAUUUGCAGAGGAUGCUUUUGGCGCGGUGCCUUCCGAGUUCCCUGGAACGGGACGCCAUAGAGGGUGAGAGCCCCGUACGGUUGGACACCAAGCCUUUGUAAAGCUCCUUCGACGAGUCGAGUAGUUUGGGAAUGCUGCUCUAAAUGGGAGGUAUAUUUCUUCUAAAGCUAAAUAUAGGCCAGAGACCGAUAGCGCACAAGUAGAGUGAUCGAAAGAUGAAAAGCACUUUGAAAAGAGGGUUAAACAGCACGUGAAAUUGUUAAAAGGGAAGCGCUUGUGACCAGACUUGCGUCCGGUGAAUCACCCAGCUCUCGCGGCUGGGGCACUUUGCCGGCACAGGCCAGCAUCAGCUCGCUGUCGGGGACAAAAGCUUCGGGAACGUAGCUCUCUUCGGGGAGUGUUAUAGCCCGUUGCAUAAUACCCUUCGGUGGGCUGAGGUACGCGCUCCGCAAGGAUGCUGGCGUAAUGGUCAUCAGCGACCCGUCUUGAAACACGGACCAAGGAGUCAACCUUAUGUGCGAGUGUUUGGGUGUUAAACCCCUACGCGUAAUGAAAGUGAACGCAGGUGAGAGCUUCGGCGCAUCAUCGACCGAUCCUGAUGUUCUCGGAUGGAUUUGAGUAAGAGCAUAUAGGGUUGGACCCGAAAGAAGGUGAACUAUGCGUGUAUAGGGUGAAGCCAGAGGAAACUCUGGUGGAGGCUCGCAGCGGUUCUGACGUGCAAAUCGAUCGUCAAAUAUGCGCAUGGGGGCGAAAGACUAAUCGAACCUUCUAGUAGCUGGUUUCCGCCGAA
RNAcentral lists this ribosomal RNA (898 nucleotides) under Colletotrichum dematium. Its description in RNAcentral is "LSU rRNA". It matches the Rfam family "Eukaryotic large subunit ribosomal RNA", at positions 36 to 965 of the family's 3401-position model. The record is from RNAcentral. Lineage: Eukaryota; Fungi; Ascomycota; Sordariomycetes; Glomerellales; Glomerellaceae.